RNAcentral lists this ribosomal RNA (482 nucleotides) under uncultured bacterium. Its description in RNAcentral is "partial 16S ribosomal RNA". It matches the Rfam family "Bacterial small subunit ribosomal RNA", at positions 30 to 507 of the family's 1533-position model. The record is from RNAcentral.
AUUGAACGCUGGCGGCAUGCUUUACACAUGCAAGUCGAACGGUAACAGGCCGCAAGGUGCUGACGAGUGGCGAACGGGUGAGUAAUGCAUCGGAACGUGCCCAGUCGUGGGGGAUAACUACUCGAAAGAGUAGCUAAUACCGCAUACGAUCUAUGGAUGAAAGCGGGGGACCGUAAGGCCUCGCGCGAUUGGAGCGGCCGAUGUCAGAUUAGGUAGUUGGUGGGGUAAAGGCUCACCAAGCCAACGAUCUGUAGCUGGUCUGAGAGGGCGACCAGCCACACUGGGACUGAGACACGGCCCAGACUCCUACGGGAGGCAGCAGUGGGGAAUUUUGGACAAUGGGCGCAAGCCUGAUCCAGCAAUGCCGCGUGCAGGAAGAAGGCCUUCGGGUUGUAAACUGCUUUUGUACGGAACGAAACGGCUCUGGUUAAUACCCGGGGCUAAUGACGGUACCGUAAGAAUAAGCACCGGCUAACUACGUG